This 503-nucleotide ribosomal RNA is filed under the name uncultured bacterium. RNAcentral describes it as "partial 16S ribosomal RNA". It matches the Rfam family "Bacterial small subunit ribosomal RNA", at positions 30 to 523 of the family's 1533-position model. The record is from RNAcentral.
AUUGAACGCUGGCGGCAGGCUUAACACAUGCAAGUCGAGCGGGGUGAUGGUGCUUGCACUAUCACUUAGCGGCGGACGGGUGAGUAAUGCUUAGGAAUCUGCCUAUUAGUGGGGGACAACAUCUCGAAAGGGAUGCUAAUACCGCAUACGUCCUACGGGAGAAAGCAGGGGAUCACUUGUGACCUUGCGCUAAUAGAUGAGUCUAAGUCGGAUUAGCUAGUUGGUGGGGUAAAGGCCUACCAAGGCGACGAUCUGUAGCGGGUCUGAGAGGAUGAUCCGCCACACUGGGACUGAGACACGGCCCAGACUCCUACGGGAGGCAGCAGUGGGGAAUAUUGGAUAAUGGGGGGAACCCUGAUCCAGCCAUGCCGCGUGUGUGAAGAAGGCCUUAUGGUUGUAAAGCACUUUAAGCGAGGAGGAGGCUCUUUUGGUUAAUACCCAAGAUGAGUGGACGUUACUCGCAGAAUAAGCACCGGCUAACUCUGUGCCAGCCGCCGCUGUAA